RNAcentral lists this ribosomal RNA (432 nucleotides) under uncultured bacterium. Its description in RNAcentral is "partial 16S ribosomal RNA". It matches the Rfam family "Bacterial small subunit ribosomal RNA", at positions 29 to 506 of the family's 1533-position model. The record is from RNAcentral.
AACGAACGCUGGCGGCAUGCCUAACACAUGCAAGUCGAACGAGACCUUCGGGUCUAGUGGCGCACGGGUGCGUAACGCGUGGGAACCUGCCCUUAGGUUCGGAAUAACUCCCCGAAAGGGGUGCUAAUACCGGAUAAUGUCUUCGGACCAAAGAUUUAUCGCCUUUGGAUGGGCCCGCGUUGGAUUAGCUAGUUGGUAGGGUAAAAGCCUACCAAGGCGACGAUCCAUAGCUGGUCUGAGAGGAUGAUCAGCCACACUGGGACUGAGACACGGCCCAGACCCCUCCGGGGGGCAGCAGGGGGGAAAUUUGGAAAAUGGGCGAAAGCCUGACCCAGCAAUGCCGGGUGGGUUAUGAAGGCCUUAGGGUUGUAAAGCUCUUUUACCCGGGAUGAUAAGGACAGUACCGGGAGUAUAAGCCCCGGCUAACUCCGU